UCGAUUCCCUUAGUAGCGGCGAGCGAAACGGGAAGAGCCCAAACCAACAAGCUUGCUUGUUGGGGUUGUAGGACACUCUAUACGGAGUUACAAAGGACGACAUUAGACGAAUCAUCUGGAAAGAUGAAUCAAAGAAGGUAAUAAUCCUGUAGUCGAAAAUGUUGUCUCUCUUGAGUGGAUCCUGAGUACGACGGAGCACGUGAAAUUCCGUCGGAAUCUGGGAGGACCAUCUCCUAAGGCUAAAUACUCUCUAGUGACCGAUAGUGAACCAGUACCGUGAGGGAAAGGUGAAAAGCACCCCGGAAGGGGAGUGAAAUAGAACCUGAAACCGUGUGCUUACAAGUAGUCAGAGCCCGUUAAUGGGUGAUGGCGUGCCUUUUGUAGAAUGAACCGGCGAGUUACGA
RNAcentral lists this ribosomal RNA (404 nucleotides) under Staphylococcus aureus. Its description in RNAcentral is "partial 23S ribosomal RNA". It matches the Rfam family "Bacterial large subunit ribosomal RNA", at positions 231 to 633 of the family's 2925-position model. Lineage: Bacteria; Bacillati; Bacillota; Bacilli; Caryophanales; Staphylococcaceae. The record is from RNAcentral.